GAUGAAGAACGUAGCGAAAUGCGAUAAGUAAUGUGAAUUGCAGAAUUCAGUGAAUCAUCGAAUAUUUGAACGCACAUUGCGCCCGCCAGUAUUCUGGCGGGCAUGCCUGUUCGAGCGUCAUUACAACCCUCAGGCCCCCGGGCCUGGCGUUGGGGAUCGGCGGAGCCCCCCGUGGGCACACGCCGUCCCCCAAAUGCAGUGGCGGUCCCGCCGCAGCUUCCAUCGCGUAGUAGCUAACACCUCGCGACUGGAGAGCGGCGCGGCCACGCCGUAAAACACCCAACUCUUCUGAAGUGGACCUCGAAUCAGGUAGGAAUACCCGCUGAACUUAAGCAUAUCAAUAAGCGGAGGA
Molecule: unclassified non-coding RNA, 352 nt
Filed under: soil metagenome
Description: partial contains 5.8S ribosomal RNA, internal transcribed spacer 2, and large subunit ribosomal RNA
Rfam family: 5.8S ribosomal RNA (bases 1-120)
Source: RNAcentral